This 23-nucleotide non-coding RNA is filed under the name Arabidopsis thaliana (thale cress). Lineage: Eukaryota; Viridiplantae; Streptophyta; Magnoliopsida; Brassicales; Brassicaceae. The record is from RNAcentral.
UACCAGACCGAUAACGGUAUAUC